RNAcentral lists this small RNA (561 nucleotides) under Pongo abelii (Sumatran orangutan). RNAcentral describes it as "processed transcript". Lineage: Eukaryota; Metazoa; Chordata; Mammalia; Primates; Hominidae. The record is from RNAcentral.
UCUGGGUCCAAGGCCUCUGUGGUCCUGUCAGAGGCCUUGGUGCUGAAGAGUGUCCUGAGCAUCUGUGCUGAUCCAAGGAUUCUUGGAUUGGGCCUCUUCUGUUUUGGUUGCAGGCCCCGGGCAUUCUGUCUGGCGGACAGCGAUGAGGAAUCCUCCAGCGCUGGCUCCUCUGAGGAAGACGAUGCCCCAGAGCCCAGCGGGGGAGACAAACAGCUCCUCCCAGGGGCUGAAGGGUACGUUGGAGGUCAUCGAACAAGUAAGAUUAUGAGGUUUGUUGAUAAAAUUACCAAGUCAAAAUAUUUCCAAAAAGCAACAGAGACAGAGUUUAUUAAAAAGAAGAUUGAAGAAGUCUCCAACACACCCCUGCUGCUCACUGUUGAAGUACAAGAAUGUAGAGGAACCUUGGCGGUCAACAUUCCACCACCCCCGACUGACCGAGUAUGGUAUGGUUUCCGAAAGCCACCACAUGUGGAGCUGAAAGCUCGGCCAAAACUUGGAGAGAGAGAAGUGACUUUAGUUCACGUGACAGACUGGAUAGAGAAGAAACUGGAGCAAGAGUUU